CCCGUGCUACAACCGCACAUACCAGGUUUUUAAGUGUUCAAUGAACCACCUGAAAUGGCGAGUCUUAGUAAUCAA
Molecule: regulatory RNA element, 75 nt
Organism: Bacillaceae bacterium
Lineage: Bacteria; Bacillati; Bacillota; Bacilli; Caryophanales; Bacillaceae
Source: Rfam